This 254-nucleotide ribosomal RNA is filed under the name uncultured bacterium. Its description in RNAcentral is "partial 16S ribosomal RNA". It matches the Rfam family "Bacterial small subunit ribosomal RNA", at positions 524 to 776 of the family's 1533-position model. The record is from RNAcentral.
UACAGAGGGUGCGAGCGUUGUUCGGAAUUACUGGGCGUAAAGCGCGUGCAGGCGGCCUUUUAAGUCUGACGGUGAAAUGCCGGGGCUCAACCCCGUGCCCGCCGGAGAUACUGGGAGGCUGGAGACGAGUAGAGGCAAGCGGAAUUCCGGGUGUAGCGGUGGAAUGCGUAGAGAUCCGGAAGAACACCGGAGGCGAAGGCGGCUUGCUGGGCUCGGUCUGACGCUGAGGCGCGAAAGCGUGGGGAGCGAACAGG